UACGUAGGGUGCGAGCGUUGUCCGGAAUUAUUGGGCGUAAAGGGCUCGUAGGCGGUCUGUUUCGUCGGGAGUGAAAACUCAGGGCUUAACCCUGAGCCUGCUUCCGAUACGGGCAGACUAGAGGUAUGCAGGGGAGAACGGAAUUCCUGGUGUAGCGGUGAAAUGCGCAGAUAUCAGGAGGAACACCGGUGGCGAAGGCGGUUCUCUGGGCACUACCUGACGCUGAGGAGCGAAAGUGUGGGGAGCGAACAGG
RNAcentral lists this ribosomal RNA (253 nucleotides) under uncultured bacterium. RNAcentral describes it as "partial 16S ribosomal RNA". It matches the Rfam family "Bacterial small subunit ribosomal RNA", at positions 524 to 776 of the family's 1533-position model. The record is from RNAcentral.